Long non-coding RNA from Elgaria multicarinata webbii, 796 nucleotides. RefSeq lists it as uncharacterized. The transcript is spliced from 3 exons. NCBI's taxonomy places the organism in Eukaryota, Metazoa, Chordata, Lepidosauria, Squamata, Anguidae. The record is from RefSeq and is a predicted model, not a curated record.
GAGAAAUACUGGGCAUAAACCAGCCAAUGUCAAGGAGCUAAGACAGUGAGGUUUACAGAUGUCUCUUUUACAACUGGGUGGCCAUCAACCAUCAACUCUACUCGGCAUAUGAAUUCCCUCCCAUUGUCCUCUUCCCGUGUUUUCACCGGAAACGUCAGGAAAGGAGGGCUUCCGAUUGCAAAGUUUUGGUCACUGGCCCCAGAGAGACUGUGCAGAUCAACUUAUGUUCUCCUGCUAAUGAAGAGGACAUCAGAGCCUGGGCACUCACUGUGUCCCCCGACACUCUUCUGCUGAAGUUCCUUCUCUCCCCUGCAAACAAGAGUUCAAACUGGACCUCUUCAGCUGGAAAAACUCCAGAAACAUUACAGUUCACGGUCAUCUUUGUAUUAGUCUCAGCGGAGUGUGGGGUUUCAAGACUAGGAUCCAUUGGAAAAACUGUCAAGACAACAGAUAAAACCAUGACAGUUAUUAAAAUAGCAACCACAGUUGAAAUAAUAUCUCCCUUAAAUAGCGAACUCAGGUGUUCAGUACCUACGCCAACAGAAAUGGAGUCCAAAUUAUGCCUCUGAGAAACAUGGAGGAGAUAUCAAUAUGGCUGGGGGGGAUCUCCAAGGUUUGCAGAAGUAAAACAAAAAUGAAUACCAACCCUUGUAAAAACAAGCCUAAGGAGAUAGAAAUCCCAACAAAGAAUGGCCCAAUUCUCAGUAAAUAUGUAGCCAUGAAAUACUUCUGUGCGCUUGCUACCUCCUUUGAUUGGGGCAAUGGAAAUAAAUUAUAAGUAAAAUCAUGAAAACAA